RNAcentral lists this ribosomal RNA (860 nucleotides) under Arthrinium phaeospermum. RNAcentral's name for it is "eukaryotic LSU rRNA". It matches the Rfam family "Eukaryotic large subunit ribosomal RNA", at positions 61 to 948 of the family's 3401-position model. The record is from RNAcentral. RNAcentral also lists the same sequence under 1 other name. Lineage: Eukaryota; Fungi; Ascomycota; Sordariomycetes; Amphisphaeriales; Apiosporaceae.
GAAACCAACAGGGAUUCCCUAGUAACGGCGAGUGAAGCGGGAACAGCUCAAAUUUGAAAUCUGGCCCUUGGGUCCGAGUUGUAAUUUGCAGAGGAUGCUUUUGGUGCGGUGCCUUCCGAGUUCCCUGGAACGGGACGCCUUAGAGGGUGAGAGCCCCGUACGGUUGGACACCAAGCCUAUGUAAAGCUCCUUCGACGAGUCGAGUAGUUUGGGAAUGCUGCUCAAAAUGGGAGGUAUAUUUCUUCUAAAGCUAAAUAUUGGCCAGAGACCGAUAGCGCACAAGUAGAGUGAUCGAAAGAUGAAAAGCACUUUGAAAAGAGGGUUAAAUAGCACGUGAAAUUGUUGAAAGGGAAGGAUUUAUGACCAGACUUUUUCUAGGGGGAUCAUCCGGUGUUCUCACCGGUGCACUUCCCCUAGUUGAGGCCAGCAUCGGUUUCUGUCGGGGGAUAAAAGCUUUAGGAAUGUGGCUCCCUCCGGGGAGUGUUAUAGCCUGUUGCAUAAUACCCUGACGGGGACCGAGGUUCGCGCAUUGCAAGGAUGCUGGCGUAAUGGUUAUUAAUCACCCGUCUUGAAACACGGACCAAGGAGUCGAACAUUUGUGCGAGUGUUUGGGUGUUAAACCCUCACGCGUAAUGAAAGUGAACGGAGGUGAGAGCCUUUCGGGGUGCAUCAUCGACCGAUCCUGAUGUCUUCGGAUGGAUUUGAGUAAGAGCAUUAAUGUUCGGACCCGAAAGAUGGUGAACUAUGCGUGGAUAGGGUGAAGCCAGAGGAAACUCUGGUGGAGGCUCGCAGCGGUUCUGACGUGCAAAUCGAUCGUCAAAUCUGCGCAUGGGGGCGAAAGACUAAUCGAACCAUCUAGU